Non-coding RNA from Podarcis lilfordi (Lilford's wall lizard), 134 nucleotides. The record is from the annotation of a GenBank genome assembly. Lineage: Eukaryota; Metazoa; Chordata; Lepidosauria; Squamata; Lacertidae.
CUUCCAGUAGCACCUUAGAGACCAACUAAGUUUGUUAUUGGUAUGAGCUUUUGUGUGCAUCUGAUGAAGUGUGCAUGCACAUGAAAGCUCAUACUAAUAACAAACUUAGUUGGUCUCUAAGGUGCUACUGGAAG